RNAcentral lists this ribosomal RNA (262 nucleotides) under uncultured bacterium. Its description in RNAcentral is "partial 16S ribosomal RNA". It matches the Rfam family "Bacterial small subunit ribosomal RNA", at positions 793 to 1055 of the family's 1533-position model. The record is from RNAcentral.
GUCCAUGCUGUAAACGAUGAGAACUAGAUGUUAGAAGGCAUGACCUUCUAGUAUCGAAGCUAACGCGAUAAGUUCUCCGCCUGGGGAGUACGGCCGCAAGGUUAAAACUCAAAGAAAUUGACGGGGGCCCGCACAAGCGGUGGAGCAUGUGGUUUAAUUCGAUGCAACGCGAAGAACCUUACCUACCUUUGAAUCCACAGAACCUAGCAGAGAUGUUGGGGUGCCUUCGGGAACUGUGAGACAGGUGCUGCAUGGCUGUCGU